CCGUCUGGCGCGCACCUCCGACUCGCUGCUCUCCCUGCUCGACGUCAUCAUCGCCGACACGGCCAUGUCGCGCAAGGACAAGCGCAAGAAGCUCCAGCAGUUCCGUGACACAUACCCGGAGAUCUACAGCCGCCGGCUGCUGGAGGCCGACCGGCAGCUGCUGGCCGCCGGCGACACGCGCCGCACGCGCUCCCUCUUCUCGGGCGCAUCGCUCAGCUCGCUCGUCCGCUCCAAGUCGCUCCGCAUCUGAGGCCGACAUGGCUCGCCGGAAGUGUGUCGUGGUCCGGUCACGCGCGGCACGUGCUCGCCGAGGCGUCUGGACGCGUCGUCAGGUCCGGGAAUGCCCGGCUGACAGCGUCUGCGGCGGCCCAUCCUCAUGAUAUCCGGACGAAUUCCUGCUUGUUUUCCGCGUGGCGCACAAUGAAAUCUCAGAGCGCUUGGACAAGUCGCCGUGCCGGCCGGCCCGCGUGCCGCGCGUCACUAGCCGCCGUGAUGUGCGCACCUCGCCGCCGUGCUGUGCGCCCGCUUUGAGCUCCCGGCUGUCCGGGGCGAUCAAAGCGGCCACAGCGACCGGCCUCUCGGCCUGCGAGUCAACUACGAUGUGCUGCUAUAGUGUAUAUCCAACGUCAUCAGGGUUUUGGGCCUGCGCGAUCUUGCAUGUCCAUAUCGCACGCCGGUUUUAAUCUUGCUAGCAAUAAUACACGGUCUGCGUUUAUCACAGCCGCACGCACUGGCACAUUUUCGGGUGUUUGCAAGUGUGAGCCACAAUACAAUCACUUCUUCA
Molecule: long non-coding RNA, 784 nt
Organism: Pollicipes pollicipes
Lineage: Eukaryota; Metazoa; Arthropoda; Thecostraca; Pollicipedomorpha; Pollicipedidae
Exons: 2
Source: RefSeq, a predicted model, not a curated record